RNAcentral lists this ribosomal RNA (1220 nucleotides) under Pseudogymnoascus sp. Its description in RNAcentral is "partial large subunit ribosomal RNA". The stretch from base 1 to 947 matches the Rfam family "Eukaryotic large subunit ribosomal RNA", at positions 75 to 1888 of the family's 3401-position model. Lineage: Eukaryota; Fungi; Ascomycota; Leotiomycetes; Thelebolales; Thelebolaceae. The record is from RNAcentral.
UUACCUCAGUAACGGCGAGUGAAGCGGUAACAGCUCAAAUUUGAAAUCUGGCCUCACGGUCCGAGUUGUAAUUUGUAGAGGAUGCUUCGAGCAUGGUCUGGCCUAAGUUCCUUGGAACAGGACGUCAUAGAGGGUGAGAAUCCCGUAUGCGGCCAGGUGCCUACGCUCAUGUGAAGCUCCUUCGACGAGUCGAGUUGUUUGGGAAUGCAGCUCAAAAUGGGUGGUAAAUUUCAUCUAAAGCUAAAUAUUGGCCAGAGACCGAUAGCGCACAAGUAGAGUGAUCGAAAGAUGAAAAGCACUUUGGAAAGAGAGUUAAACAGUACGUGAAAUUGUUGAAAGGGAAGCGCUUGCAACCAGACUUGCGCGCGGCCGAUCAUCCGGUGUUCUCACCCGGUGCACUUCGGCCGUGCUCAGGCCAGCAUCGGUUUUGGCGGCUGGAUAAAGGCCCUAGGAAUGUAGCUCCUCUCGGGGAGUGUUAUAGCCUAGGGUGCAAUGCAGCCUGCUGGGACCGAGGACCGCGCUUCGGCUAGGAUGCUGGCGUAAUGGUUGUAAGCGGCCCGUCUUGAAACACGGACCAAGGAGUCUAACAUCUAUGCGAGUGUUUGGGUGUCAAACCCAUACGCGUAAUGAAAGUGAACGGAGGUGAGAACCCUUAAGGGUGCAUCAUCGACCGGUCCUGAAGUUUACGGAAGGAUCUGAGUAAGAGCAUAGCUGUUGGGACCCGAAAGAUGGUGAACUAUGCCUGAAUAGGGUGAAGCCAGAGGAAACUCUGGUGGAGGCUCGCAGCGGUUCUGACGUGCAAAUCGAUCGUCAAAUUUGGGUAUAGGGGCGAAAGACUAAUCGAACCAUUGACCUGUAGGAACACUACUAGGUGGUUAAGAGGCGGCUAAAAGUGCCGUCUAGUCCCGACGCCGGGGCGACACUGUCAAAUUGCGGGAACAUCCUUAGAGCCUAGACUACCGCAGCCUUCCUGAAAGGGGGGUGCGCACCAGGGUAAUGACCUCGGGUAUGGUAAUAACGUCUAGGAUUGGACAAUCCGCAGCCAAGCCCUACGGACCUCGGUCUAUGGGUGCAGUUCAUCGACUAGAUGGCAGUGGGUGGCAGCAAUGCCGCUUAAGAUAUAGUCAGACCCCCGGGAGACCGGGCGGCAGAAUGAAGACCGUGGGGGGCGUCCUCUCUGAGAGCCCUGCGGUCCCGAGUCUGCUGGUGGCGUCGCAGCU